This is an RNA transcript of Diorhabda carinulata, 3990 nucleotides long. It is a transcript of the gene named WW domain-containing oxidoreductase, with no coding region annotated. The record is from RefSeq and is a predicted model, not a curated record. Lineage: Eukaryota; Metazoa; Arthropoda; Insecta; Coleoptera; Chrysomelidae. The transcript is spliced from 8 exons.
UUUGGAUAACUUCUUUGAUUGGUUAGAAAUUGACAAUUGACAGUUUGUGGAGUACUGACGUUCUCCAUGUAAUUUUCAAAUUCGACCUUUGACUUUUACAGCUGAUGUAAAGAUUGUUUGUAUUUUUCAAAUUAAUUCACAUAAUAAUUAACUAACUUAUUCACAAUGAAUAUGCCAGAAUCGGAUAGUGAAGAUGAAUUACCUCCUGGGUGGGAAGAAAGAGUUACUGUUGACGGUAGUGUUUUUUACGCUAAUCAUUUAACAAAAAAUACGCAAUGGACCCAUCCAAGGACCGGAAAGAAAAAAAAGGUAUCAGGAGAGCUUCCAUUCGGAUGGCAAAGAUGUGUAGAUAAAAAUACUGGGAAGGUAAUUUAUGUUGAUCAUGAAAAUCGCAGGACCACUUACACAGAUCCAAGAUUGGCGUUUGCUGUUGAAGAAAAAGAACAUGUUAAUGAUUACAGGCAGAGAUUUGACGCUUCCAGUACUGCUCUACAGGUAUUGCAUGGUAGGGACUUGAAUGGCAAGGUGGCUCUUAUAACAGGUGCUAAUAGUGGUAUUGGUUUUGAAACUGCAAAAUCUCUCGCCAAACAUGGUUGCAGUGUUAUAAUGGCUUGUAGAAAUCUUGCAGCUGCAGAAGAAGCUAUCAAUCAAAUUCGUGAAGAUAAACUUACAGCCGGUGAUAACUGCAUAGCAAUACAUUUAGAUUUAACUUCACUUUCAUCAGUUGUACAAUUUGCUAAUACUAUUAAAAGCAAAUAUGACAAAAUUGACAUGUUGAUAUUGAAUGCUGGUGUAUUUGGACUACCUUAUAGUAAAACUCUAGAUGGGUUCGAGACUACAUUCCAAGUAAAUCAUCUGUCUCAUUUUUAUUUAACUAUUUUACUGAGACCUUUACUAGUUACUGGAUCAAGAGUGAUUGUAGUAUCUUCAGAGUCUCACAGGUUUGCUAAUCUAACUCGGGAAAAUAUGACGCCGCUAUUCCUAUCUCCUGAUUGCGCUAGUAAAUAUUGGGAUAUGAUGGCAUAUAACAAUUCCAAAUUGUGUAACGUUCUUUUUGCUAGACAAUUAUCAAAAAAUCUUCAAUCUGUCGGCAUAUCUGUGUUCAGUUUACAUCCUGGAAACAUGGUAUCUUCGAAAUUGGCAAGGAAUUGGUGGUUAUACAGAGUGUUGUUUGCUAUUGUUAGACCUUUUACCAAAAGUUUACAACAAGCAGCAGCUACUAGUGUAUAUUGUGCUACAGCUGUUGAAUUGGUAGGUGUAACAGGUGUUUACGUUAACAAUUCUUAUCAAUGUCAAGAAAGUGCAGCUGCUCAAGACGACCAAUUAGCUAAAUUACUAUGGGAUAUUAGUAUCGAGAUGAUACAGAGCGUUCUGGGAAAGAACGCUCCUGGUUUAGAAAAUGAGUCCAAAAAGUUAUUAGAGGAGUGACUGUUUUAAUUUAUACAAUGGCAUUUCGAAAAGUGUGUGGAGAGAUAUUUAACACCAGAAAGGAAAAACGUUCUAAAUCUUGAUUCAAGCUGUGUUACCAUUAAAACCGUAUUGAAUUGAGUGGUUUGGAGAGCCUGAUAAGUUGCUUUUGAGCUAUCAUCAUGGACGCAGUUGUUUUAAAUGCGAUAGUGUUUCGUAGGAGGCAACGGCGGAAACAGAAAACAAGAAAAGUGUGGAUACAUCACAUAAAUAGGAAAAGGCCGGAUUUUGGUAUGUUUCAUCAUUUACAUUCUGACCUACAAAAUAAUGGGAAGAAAUUCUAUAACUUUUAAACUUUUUAACUUUUAAAAUUAAUAACUCCAAGUCCACGACCGGACGAGGAAUCUGACAAGUUGAAUCAAGUGCGACCUCGAAUCAAACCUUAUUGAACCAGAUUCGUCCGGUCUGAAGGCGGGAAAAAGAGUCCCUUCACAUUUAAACGUAGCGCUCAAAGCCGAAUCUUGGUCAAUCAGAUUCAACUUGAUUCGGAGUGAUUCUGAUUGAUUCGGAUUCGUUUGGUGUGAAAGGGCCCUAUGGGGGCCUUCAUAGGUUUGGAUAUGCUUGAUUCAGAAAAAGAAGGGAAGCUACAGGUUUUUUUCUAGAGACUUUUGAUCGCGAGUGUGCGACUUGAGUCGAUUUUUUUGCUCACGAGUGUAUAUCUAUAUCUACAUAGAUUUUUAUUGAUAAUUUGAGAUUAGUAAUUUGUACUUUUUGUAAGCAACAAUCAUAAUAAAAAUUAUGUUUGAAUAGUUUUAAUCCUUUAUAAAAAAUAUAAACAACUGCUGUUAUUUACCUUGCGAAUCAAUUGGAGCUGUAUUAUUUAAAUCAUUUAUUUUUAAGGGUUUCACGAAUUCCACGUCGUUGGUUUCCAAAUCAUCCAGAUGUGUUUUUUGAAUAUAUUCUGAAACAAAAGGAAAAUAAUUAUCACAAGAUUAAUACGAAUGGGAAAGUUAACAUAAUAGAGCAUACGCUUAUUUGGAAUCCAACCAAUAUUUCUGUUAAAUUUAGAACCUAAUUUUUUUGCACAUUUUAUUCAAUAACCACUAAGUAAAGAAAUUUAUAACAAUAGUUGCAAGGAGGGGUUUGUUACCAAUGACUAGUUUCGACGUUAUUACGUCGCAUCAGAGUGGUUUAACAACCCUCCUUAUGGCUUUAGACCCGAACUGAAUACAACGUCGCUAUUUGAUUCAUUGAUUCAAACUUUUCUUACUUCCAACUGUGAAACACUGGUCAGGUAGAAAUCUAGCGUAGUCGCCGAUAAUCUGAAACUAUAUUGUCUAUAUUACAGCCAAUAUUUUGCAGUUUUCUUUUCGUUCUUUGUGUUAUUAUCUCUUUGAUGAAUAAUUGUACGAAUGUGGUUUAAAAAUCGAAGCAUUUCACUCUCAUACCAUGGCUUUUACUGUUUUUACUACCGUUGUUGUUUGGGAAUAAAGCGGUUUAUUUGGAAAAUUAACCCUAUACGUCGUUUAGACAUCUGAAGCAUUGGUACAUUGGAUACAUGAAGGUAAGUGAAAGUCUCUCCAAAGUGUUGUAAGUCGGGCUUGGAAUCGGUAAUCUCCAGCGUAUACACACAAUGGAGAACGGGAAAGAAUCACAGCUCAUACUCAUAGUCCUCACCGCAGCAAGAAAUAGGGCGCAGUCCACGUCAAGGAUUAAUAGCGUCCUCAAGCAAGCUACUGGUUGACGACAAUGGAUUUUUCAAGACUGAGAGCAUUUCCUUGGCGUCAAGAACUAUUUUUAGAGGUGGGAAUAUGCUAUAAUAGACCUGACUUGGUAAUUUUAAUUAAUGGAACAAUGUGUUGCAAGUAAUUUGGGGAGUAAUAACUCAACAAUUUUCAAUAAUUUAUUGAUGACUCUUUCAAACAAAGCGACACCAUUUAGACUAGCCAGGGGCGGUUUAUGAUACUGCCGUUUAGGCAUAUCUUUUAUCGUUUUUUCUCCAAAUCUGGAAAAGCCCAUCUCCUGACAAACCUGGUUUAAAAAGUAGUUGUCUCGUUUUUCCAUAUUUAUUACCAAAUUCUUCUGAGAGCUCUUUCUUUGGCUCUGCUUCUUAUGUUUUGUUCAUUCCCGGUGAUCUAUUUUAUAUACCUUCUCAAGAUAAUUAUUAGGUGUAUUGGUGUUUUUUUUUGCCGGUAGUGCUACUCCCGAGGUUGUUCUAAAGGCUGACGCUACCCGCAAAAGUAUGUUUCUUCGGGUGUUCAACAUAUCUACUUCAAUUGUUGAGCACUGUAAAUGUUUAACCCUUAACCGGCGUGGUCCGAAAUUUUAACACUUAAUGCGUUGCGCAGUCCAGGGGACUCCAAAAUAUAAAUAGUGUAUUUCCUAUUACAUAAUGAAAUAGUGUUUUUUUCUCAUGUUGUAUACAUAUUCAAAACUUAUAAGAAAACAAACAUUUUUUAUUUUCAACCAACUUAGUAACAAACCAGAGCAAAAAAUCUACAACUAAAGAUAUUAAUAUUUUAACAAAAUAAACAUAGUAUUCCAUUUAUAUUUAUUUUGAAAGAAAAAACUGAAAAAUAAAAA